This 1480-nucleotide ribosomal RNA is filed under the name uncultured bacterium. Its description in RNAcentral is "bacterial SSU rRNA". It matches the Rfam family "Bacterial small subunit ribosomal RNA". RNAcentral also lists the same sequence under 1 other name. The record is from RNAcentral.
UAGAGUUUGAUCAUGGCUCAGGACGAACGCUGGCGGCGUGCUUAACACAUGCAAGUCGAACGAGGGUAGCAAUACCCGAGUGGCGGACGGGUGAGUAACGCGUAGGUAACCUGCCUUCUAGUGGGGGAUACCCAGCCGAAAGGUUGGCUAAUACCGCAUGUCUUCGCAUCUUGGAAUAGGUGCGAGAAAAGAUUUAUCGCUAGAAGAGGGGCCUGCGUCCGAUUAGCUAGUUGGUGAGGUAACGGCUCACCAAGGCGACGAUCGGUAGCUGGUCUGAGAGGACGAUCAGCCACACUGGAACUGAGACACGGUCCAGACUCCUACGGGAGGCAGCAGUGGGGAAUUUUCCGCAAUGGGCGCAAGCCUGACGGAGCAACGCCGCGUGGAUGAUGAAGUCUUUCGGGACGUAAAAUCCUUUUGUGUGGGACGAAAUGGGGCAACCCUUGACGGUACCACAAGAAUAAGCAUCGGCUAACUACGUGCCAGCAGCCGCGGUAAUACGUAGGAUGCGAGCGUUGUCCGGAUUUAUUGGGCGUAAAGCGUGCGUAGGCGGUUCGCAAGGUCCGAGGUGAAAUCACGGGGCUCAACCCCGCUGGUGCCUUGGAAACCGGCGAGCUAGAGGACGGCAGAGGAAGGUGGAAUUCCCAGUGUAGCGGUGAAAUGCGUAGAUAUUGGGAGGAACACCGGUGGCGAAAGCGGCCUUCUGGGCCGAACCUGACGCUGAGGCACGAAAGCUCGGGGAGCAAACGGGAUUAGAUACCCCGGUAGUCCGAGCCGUAAACGAUGGAUGCUAGGUGUCUUGGGUAUCGACCCCCGCGGUGCCGCAGCUAACGCGUUAAGCAUCCCGCCUGGGGAGUACGGCCGCAAGGCUGAAACUCAAAGGAAUUGACGGGGGCCCGCACAAGCGGUGGAGCAUGUGGUUUAAUUCGAUGCAACGCGAAGAACCUUACCAAGGCUUGACAUGUCGCGAACCCUGAUGAAAGUCGGGGGUGCCGCAAGGAGCGCGAACACAGGUGGUGCAUGGCUGUCGUCAGCUCGUGUCGUGAGAUGUUGGGUUAAGUCCCGCAACGAGCGCAACCCUCGCUGUUAGUUGCCAACGGGUAAAGCCGGGCACUCUGGCAGGACUGCCGGUGACAAGCCGGAGGAAGGUGGGGAUGACGUCAAGUCAUCAUGCCCCUUAUGUCUUGGGCUACACACGUGCUACAAUGGUCGGGACAACAGGUUGCAAGACCGCGAGGUGGAGCCAAUCCCCAAACCCGGCCUCAGUUCAGAUAGCAGGCUGCAACUCGCCUGCUUGAAGGCGGAAUCGCUAGUAAUCGCGGAUCAGCACGCCGCGGUGAAUACGUUCCCGGGCCUUGUACACACCGCCCGUCACACCACGAAAGUUUGUUGUACCUGAAGUCGUUGCGCCAACCGCAAGGAGGCAGGCGCCCACGGUAUGACCGAUGAUUGGGGUGAAGUCGUAACAAGGUAACCGUAA